AUGGAUUAGGGUCCAUCCUUCUGGGUCUAUAUGGCAACAUUGCUGGUGGUUCAGGCAGAAGUGCCAAAGGUUGAUCAUGCGGGGCCACAUGAAGUGGAAUGGGCUGAGGUUCUGGCUGGUUCUGCUGAGCUAGUGCAAGGUCAUCUGGUCGGGCUGGGGCUUCGUGUUCUUGAUUAGGAAGGGCUCCUUCCCUCGGACCAGCCUGAAUUUCUCUGUGGUCUGGUACUCCAGCCAUCUAUGCAACUAGGGGGUUUUCCUGGUAUGGCCAAGCUAGUCCUGGCGGAGGGCCAUAAGAGAGAUCUAACUGCUAGAUUACAGGAUCCGGGUUUGGGAUUCUGGCCAUGGCGGAUUCUCGGUCUUUCCGGAACUGUCUGUUAACCUACCAUUGCAUCAUGGUUGUCAUGUUAUUGAGAGUAUCCUGGCUCUUUUGUACUGUGAUUUCUUGUCGGAGUACUGACUCCUGUAUUUGAUUCAUCCUUUUGGAGCCAGUCCUGGAACGUCUACUUCCUGUACUGCCGUGGGCAGAUUGCCUAGCAUCGCUUUCUUCUGAUUCGAGGCCUUCCCUGAGAACCAUCUUGUUUCUCUCCAUAUCUGGUGUGGGUUCUGGCUAGAUCUUCCGGUAUUUGUAAAUCUGUGAAUGAUUCUGUCAGAGUAUGUAUACUGAGAAGUCCCACUGGGCGUGCCAAAUUGUUCACCCAUUUUCGUGUUUACUCCUAAGAUGGAGGGGCGAAGUUCCCCACUGGCUUG
RNAcentral lists this long non-coding RNA (747 nucleotides) under Prunus persica (peach). RNAcentral's name for it is "long non-coding RNA (PPER_LNC002167)". The record is from RNAcentral. Lineage: Eukaryota; Viridiplantae; Streptophyta; Magnoliopsida; Rosales; Rosaceae.